RNAcentral lists this non-coding RNA (172 nucleotides) under Faecalicatena contorta. Lineage: Bacteria; Bacillati; Bacillota; Clostridia; Lachnospirales; Lachnospiraceae. The record is from RNAcentral.
UUGUGGGUGACUACGAAUCUGAAGGAAGCCGGAUGGCAAAUCUCUGGUCUGACGCACAGAAAUCAUAUCAGGCUAAAAUCGGGGGUAAGGCUGCUAUACAAGUUGAAGCCCAAUAACUACACGGAACCGAUUGUGGUAAAUAUGGCAGAUGGAUGGAGAGAAGGAACGUGCG